Molecule: unclassified non-coding RNA, 206 nt
Filed under: Hevea brasiliensis (rubber tree)
Lineage: Eukaryota; Viridiplantae; Streptophyta; Magnoliopsida; Malpighiales; Euphorbiaceae
Source: RNAcentral
AUUUCCUCGACAACGACAUCGCAAGCUACGCAUCGUUGCGCGACCGCCCCGAUCGCGAUGCUACGUCACGGCUAUCGCCGCAUCUGCGCUUCGGCGAAAUCAGCCCGCGUCAGGUCUGGCAUUCCGCCAGUUUCGCUGCGGCCGGAAAACCCGCAAUAUCCAGCAGUGUCGCGAAAUUUCUAAGCGAACUCGGCUGGCGCGAAUUC